GCAUUGAUGGCUUAGUGGUAGGACGCUUGCGUUGCAUCUGGGCGACCCGGGUUCGAUCCCCGGUCACUGCA
Non-coding RNA from Parelaphostrongylus tenuis, 71 nucleotides. The record is from the annotation of a GenBank genome assembly. Lineage: Eukaryota; Metazoa; Nematoda; Chromadorea; Rhabditida; Metastrongylidae.